UACCAGCACCCCGAGUGGUCGGGACGAUUAUUGGGCCUAAAGCAUCCGUAGCCGGUCCUGCAAGUCUUCCGUUAAAUCCAGCUGCUCAACAGAUGGGCUGCGGGGGAUACUACAGGGCUAGGAGGCGGGAGAGGCAAGCGGUACUUUAUGGGUAGGGGUAAAAUCCGUUGAUCCAUAGAAGACCACCAGUGGCGAAGGCGGCUUGCCAGAACGCGCUCGACGGUGAGGGAUGAAAGCUGGGGGAGCAAACCGG
RNAcentral lists this ribosomal RNA (253 nucleotides) under uncultured bacterium. RNAcentral's name for it is "partial 16S ribosomal RNA". It matches the Rfam family "Archaeal small subunit ribosomal RNA", at positions 474 to 727 of the family's 1478-position model. The record is from RNAcentral.